UUUUCAGUGCCAUGUAGUUAUUUACGAGGCUAAGAGAGAAUCAGGUGGAAAUCCUGAGCGAUCCGGUCACUGUAAACAGGGAGCAGUAUUCCGUUAUGCCAUUGGCAUAUAAUGCUGAGAAGGGGGAAUCCUGUGAUGAUCUGUAAGCCAGGAAACCUGCUGAAUAAACA
RNAcentral lists this non-coding RNA (170 nucleotides) under uncultured Blautia sp. Lineage: Bacteria; Bacillati; Bacillota; Clostridia; Lachnospirales; Lachnospiraceae. The record is from RNAcentral.